This 840-nucleotide ribosomal RNA is filed under the name uncultured organism. Its description in RNAcentral is "bacterial SSU rRNA". It matches the Rfam family "Bacterial small subunit ribosomal RNA", at positions 505 to 1336 of the family's 1533-position model. The record is from RNAcentral.
GUGCCAGCAGCCGCGGUAAUACGAAGGUGGCUAGCGUGUUUCGGAAUCACUGGGCUUAAAGAGCACGUAGGCGGAUGAUCAAGCGUCUUGUGAAAGCCCUCGGCUCAACCGGGGAAUUGCUUGGCGAACCGAUCAUCUUGAGGCAGGUAGGGGCGAGUGAAACUCUUGGUGGAGCGGUGGAAUGCUUAGAUAUCAAGAGGAACGCCAGAGGCGAAGGCGACUCGCUGGGCCUGACCUGACGCUGAGGUGCGAAAGCCAGGGGAGCGAACGGGAUUAGAUACCCCGGUAGUCCUGGCCCUAAACGAUGUCCACUAGGUCGGUGAGGUUCUAAUGCUUUGCUGGCCGAAACAAAAGCGUUAAGUGGACCGCCUGGGGAGUACGGUCGCAAGGCUAAAACUCAAAGGAAUUGACGGGGGCUCACACAAGCGGUGGAGCAUGUUGCUUAAUUCGAUGCAACGCGAAGAACCUUAUCCUGGGCUUGACAUACACGGAUGCCCUCCUGGAAACAGGUCGGGUUGCCCUUCGGGGUGAAACGUACACAGGUGCUGCAUGGCUGUCGUCAGCUCGUGUCGUGAGAUGUUGGGUUAAGUCCCGUAACGAGCGAAACCCUUGUCGCUAGUUGCCAGCGCGUAAUGGCGGGGACUCUAGCGAGACUGCCGGUGUUAAACCGGAGGAAGGUGGGGAUGACGUCAAGUCCUCAUGGCCUUUAUGCCCAGGGCUGCAAACGUGCUACAAUGGUAGGGACAGAGCGACGCAAGACCGUGAGGUGGAGCAAAUCGCAAAAACCCUGCCCCAGUUCGGAUCGGAGUCUGCAACUCGACUCCGGAAGUCGGAAUCGCU